Molecule: ribosomal RNA, 490 nt
Filed under: uncultured bacterium
Lineage: Bacteria
Description: partial 16S ribosomal RNA
Rfam family: Bacterial small subunit ribosomal RNA
Source: RNAcentral
AGUGAACGCUGGCGGUAGGCCUAACACAUGCAAGUCGAACGGCAGCACAGAGGAGCUUGCUCCUUGGGUGGCGAGUGGCGGACGGGUGAGGAAUACAUCGGAAUCUACUCUGUCGUGGGGGAUAACGUAGGGAAACUUACGCUAAUACCGCAUACGACCUACGGGUGAAAGCCGGGGAUCUUCGGACCUUGCGCGAUUGAAUGAGCCGAUGUCGGAUUAGCUAGUUGGCGGGGUAAAGGCCCACCAAGGCGACGAUCCGUAGCUGGUCUGAGAGGAUGAUCAGCCACACUGGAACUGAGACACGGUCCAGACUCCUACGGGAGGCAGCAGUGGGGAAUAUUGGACAAUGGGCGCAAGCCUGAUCCAGCCAUACCGCGUGGGUGAAGAAGGCCUUCGGGUUGUAAAGCCCUUUUGUUGGGAAAGAAAUCCAGCCGGCUAAUACCUGGUUGGGAUGACGGUACCCAAAGAAUAAGCACCGGCUAACUUCGUG